Molecule: ribosomal RNA, 585 nt
Filed under: Triticum aestivum (bread wheat)
Lineage: Eukaryota; Viridiplantae; Streptophyta; Magnoliopsida; Poales; Poaceae
Description: partial small subunit ribosomal RNA
Source: RNAcentral
AUGCUCCCUCGCGCGGGCCAUGACCACCCUCAAGGCCAAGCUCCGCCGCCCUCUCAUGCCUCUGCCGCGCCGGUCUACGAGUCCGCCGCCGAGCUCCACCAGGCCCCCGCCGGCGACCUCGACCUUCAGGCCGUCGCCGCGCCUCCGCCGAGCCUCCUCUGGUCGCUGCCGGCCGAGCUCAAAGCUCCACUGAUGCGCGCUGCUUGCUCGUCUCGCGCCACUCCCCCAUGCCCCUUCAGCCUCCUCUGCUCGCGCAGCAGCAUCCCACCUCCGUCACCAUGUGCUGGACCCCGAGAUCACCUUCCUCAACGUCACCACGCCAUGGCCGAUUUUGUUGCUUCACUGUUGGGCAUGAGUUGCCUUGCUGCUGCCUCGAGAGCCCUUUUGUCGUGCUUCAUUUUGGGUCGGCCAGAACGAGAACACCAAGUACCGUCGCCAAGACCCCGUGAACGUCUACAUGAUGACCGCCGAGUACCUCUUCGCAAGUACAACUACCAUCACGUGGAUCCGCCAAGACCGUGGAGUAAACGAACAUGUACCCCUAUGCCCGGAGACAUCGGAUCCAUCAAGUCUGAAGACCCUUAG